Molecule: ribosomal RNA, 502 nt
Filed under: uncultured Chitinophaga sp.
Lineage: Bacteria; Pseudomonadati; Bacteroidota; Chitinophagia; Chitinophagales; Chitinophagaceae
Description: partial 16S ribosomal RNA
Source: RNAcentral
CACGGAGUUAGCCGGUGCUUAUUCCUAUGGUACCGUCAACACCUUUAGAUAAAAGUGGUUUCUUCCCAUAUAAAAGAAGUUUACAAUCCAGAGGACCUUCAUCCUUCACGCGGCAUGGCUGGUUCAGACUUGCGUCCAUUGACCAAUAUUCCUUACUGCUGCCUCCCGUAGGAGUCGGGCCCGUGUCUCAGUGCCCGUGUGACUGGUCGCGCUCUCACGCCAGUUACUGAUCGUUGGCUUGGUGAGCCGUUACCUCACCAACUACCUAAUCAGCCGCACGCCCAUCUUUAAGCGAAAUUCUUUAAUCACUAAGUGAUGCCACUCUAUGAUCUUAUGGGGUAUUAAUCCGAAUUUCUUCGGGCUAUCUCCCACUUAAAGGAAGGUUACGUACGUGUUCCGCACCCGUUUGCCGGUCGCCGCCAGGUAUUGCUACCCGCGAUGCCCCUCGACUUGCAUGUAUUAGGCCUGCCGCUAGCGUUCAUCCUGAGCCAGGAUCAAACUC